AAUAGAUACCCUGGUAGUCCACCCCGUAAACGUUGGGAACUAGUUGUGGGGUCCAUUCCACGGAUUCCGUGACGCAGCUAACGCAUUAAGUUCCCCGCCUGGGGAGUACGGCCGCAAGGCUAAAACUCAAAGGAAUUGACGGGGACCCGCACAAGCGGCGGAGCAUGCGGAUUAAUUCGAUGCAACGCGAAGAACCUUACCAAGGCUUGACAUAUAGAGGAAACGUCUGGAAACAGUCGCCCCGCAAGGUCUCUAUACAGGUGGUGCAUGGUUGUCGUCAGCUCGUGUCGUGAGAUGUUGGGUUAAGUCCCGCAACGAGCGCAACCCUCGUUCUAUGUUGCCAGCACGUAAUGGUGGGAACUCAUGGGAUACUGCCGGGGUCAACUCGGAGGAAGGUGGGGAUGACGUCAAAUCAUCAUGCCCCUUAUGUCUUGGGCUUCACGCAUGCUACAAUGGCCGGUACAAAGGGCUGCAAUACCGUGAGGUGGAGCGAAUCCCAAAAAGCCGGUCCCAGUUCGGAUUGAGGUCUGCAACUCGACCUC
This 542-nucleotide ribosomal RNA is filed under the name uncultured bacterium. Its description in RNAcentral is "bacterial SSU rRNA". It matches the Rfam family "Bacterial small subunit ribosomal RNA", at positions 777 to 1319 of the family's 1533-position model. The record is from RNAcentral.